Molecule: ribosomal RNA, 253 nt
Filed under: uncultured bacterium
Lineage: Bacteria
Description: partial 16S ribosomal RNA
Rfam family: Bacterial small subunit ribosomal RNA
Source: RNAcentral
UACAGAGGGUGCAAGCGUUAUCCGGAUUUACUGGGUUUAAAGGGUGCGUAGGCGGGUUGAUAAGUCAGUGGUGAAACCUCCGAGCUUAACUCGGAAACUGCCAUUGAUACUAUCAGUCUUGAAUUCAGUUGAGGUGGGCGGAAUGUGUCGUGUAGCGGUGAAAUGCUUAGAUAUGACACAGAACACCAAUUGCGAAGGCAGCUCGCUAAACUGACAUUGACGCUGAGGCACGAAAGCGUGGGGAGCAAACAGG